Molecule: ribosomal RNA, 462 nt
Filed under: uncultured bacterium
Lineage: Bacteria
Description: partial 16S ribosomal RNA
Rfam family: Bacterial small subunit ribosomal RNA
Source: RNAcentral
GACGAACGCUGGCGGCGUGCUUAACACAUGCGAGUCGAACGGUAAGGCCCUUCGGGGUACACGAGUGGCGAACGGGUGAGUAACACGUGGGUAAUCUGCCCUGCACUUCGGGAUAAGCCUGGGAAACUGGGUCUAAUACCGGAUAUUCAGUUCCUGCCGCAUGGUGGGGGUUGGAAAGUUUUUCGGUGCAGGAUGAGCCCGCGGCCUAUCAGCUUGUUGGUGGGGUAAUGGCCUACCAAGGCGACGACGGGUAGCCGGCCUGAGAGGGUGAUCGGCCACACUGGGACUGAGACACGGCCCAGACUCCUACGGGAGGCAGCAGUGGGGAAUAUUGCACAAUGGGCGAAAGCCUGAUGCAGCGACGCCGCGUGAGGGAUGACGGUCUUCGGAUUGUAAACCCCUUUCAGUAGGGACGAAGCGCAAGUGACGGUACCUGCAGAAGAAGCACCGGCCAACUACGUG